Haliotis rubra (blacklip abalone) is the source of this 1136-nucleotide long non-coding RNA. RefSeq lists it as uncharacterized. Lineage: Eukaryota; Metazoa; Mollusca; Gastropoda; Lepetellida; Haliotidae. The transcript has 2 exons. The record is from RefSeq and is a predicted model, not a curated record.
GGAGGGUUUCAAGACUCGGAUGCUGACAUGUGUGUGGAGGAAGACACGAGAUCCGGCCUGGUCAACAUGCAAGAGGAAACCUCGACCCUCGGUGAAGAAACCAUGUGCACCAAGACAGUGUCAGAGCAGUUGCCGGGACAUGUCCAGGUACUGCAGCAUUGUUGGCAUGUUGAAGAUGUGCCGUGUGCGAGACUUCCGACAGAGGUGCUGCCACACAUGUCGAACGUACAACACAACCAAACCUAAACGCCAGACAUCAGCAAUCGAAACACUCUUCCAUUUGGGAAAUCAACAGAUUGUCUAACUAUAUUGGAAAAUUGUCACCAACAAGAAUGUCAGUAUUGAUGGCCGGCAUAUUUUGAUACAAUGUCACAGAUUCCUUAGUUCUAUCUUCAUCUGUAUAUUCCCUGGACAGCAAAGGAUGUUCCGUGUUUUCUUCUGCACAGGUGUGAUGGACAAUUUCCUGAAUACCUGUAAGGCAUGUAAACUUGGAGUAUACUACAGCGAUGUCACAACAAUCUCUCCACCAAGUUCUGUUUCCAUGACGAUGAGGGAACAAUGUAUGUGGUGCUUAAACAAGAGCAGAACCCCCAGCACCAUAUUCAGAAUGUUCUAAGCAAACCCAUGGUAAUGAUGUUAGCAGAACAUCAAUUUGAAACUAAGGAACUGAAACAUUAUGGGGACAUUCUACAAAACACUUAUAUUGUAUGACCAUGACAACACAGUCCUGGACAGUCUUCUGGUACUUAUUCUUGGUAAAACCCUUGUGGUGAAAAACAUACAAACUAUCAAAUUCAACCCCAUUCAAACACAAAAUGUACAUGUUUCAUAUCAGUAUAUUAAUUACCUUCAUCUGUUGUAGCAGGUGUUUUGUCAAAUUUCGAUUAAAAACUUAUGUUGUCUCUCCAUAAUUUUAUAAUAUUGGGUAUCAGUGGCCAUAAUGGUGUGUUCUCUAGUUACACAUAUUUGUAAUGAUGGGGAGACUAAAAUGUUAACUUAAAAACAAAAUUUCCAGUGUACAUAACACCUGAACUACACCUUUUCUCCAUUCCAAAGAUUAUUUAAAUGCCCAAUCACAAAACCAAAACAACGUAUAUGCGUGUCUGCAAUCUAGUCGUAUGAUACCAUGAUACUGG